RNAcentral lists this ribosomal RNA (1302 nucleotides) under metagenome. RNAcentral describes it as "SSU rRNA". It matches the Rfam family "Eukaryotic small subunit ribosomal RNA", at positions 477 to 1790 of the family's 1831-position model. The record is from RNAcentral.
AUAACAAUACUGAGCCUUUUUAGGUUUGGUAAUUGGAAUGAGCACAAUUUAAAUCCCUUAGCGAGGAACGACUGGAGGGCAAGCCUGGUGCCAGCAGCCGCGGUAACACCAGCUCCAGUAGCGUAUAUUAAAGUUGUUGCAGUUGAAAAGUUCGUAGUUGGAUUUCUGAUGUGAUUUGCCCGGCCCGCUCUGUUUUGCAGAUGUGAGUGCCGGCGCGAGUCCAUUCAUCCUUCUAGAUCACCGCUGACUCCGGUUCUGCCGUGUAGUCGCGGGGAGCUAGAUCUUUUACUUUGAAAAAAUUAGAGUGUUUAAAGCAGGCUUUCGCUUUUGAAUACAUUAGCAUGGAAUAAUAAUAUAGGACUUCGGCCUAUUUGUUGGUUUCUGGGACGAAGUAAUGAUUGAUAGGGAUAGUUGGGGGUGCCUGUAUUGAGUGGUCAGAGGUGAAAUUCUUGGAUUCACUCAAGACAAACUUAUGCGAAAGCAUUCGCCAAGGAUGUCUUCUUUAAUCAAGAACGAAAGUUGGGGGAUCGAAGACGAUCAGAUACCGUCGUAGUCUCAACCAUAAACUAUACCGACUAAGGAUGAGUGAACGUUGCAUUUUCGACUUCAUUCGCACUUUAUGAGAAAUCAAAGUUUUUGGGUUCUGGGGGGAGUAUGGUCGCAAGGCUGAAACUUAAAGGAAUUGACGGAAGGGCACCACCAGGCGUGGAACCUGCUGCUUAAUUUGACCCAACACGGGAAAACUUACCAGGUCCAGACUCAACAAGGAUUGACAGAUUGAAGAUCUUUCUUAAUUUUGAGGGUGGUGGUGCAUGGCCGUUCUUAGUUGGUGGAGUGAUUUGUCUGCUUGAUUGCGUUAACGAACGAGACCUCGACUUGCUAAAUAGUGGCGAGAACCUUCGGGUUCUUUGCUUACUUCUUAGAGGGACUAUUGGUGUUCUAGCCAAAGGAAGUUCGAGGCAAUAACAGGUCUGUGAUGCCCUUAGAUGUCCUGGGCCGCACGUGCGUUACACUGCUGAGUGCAUCGAGUCUACAACCUUCAUCGGAAGAUGUGGGUAAUCUUUUCAACGCUCAGCGUGCUGGGGAUAGAUUAUUGUAAUUAUUAAUCUUCAACGAGGAAUGCCUAGUAGACGCAGGUCAUCAACCUGCAUCGAUUACGUCCCUGCCCUUUGUACACACCGCCCGUCGCUACUACCGAUCGAAUGGCUUAGUGAGUUUUAGGGAUCGUGUCUUGGUGUUGCUUCGGUGACGCCAAGGUGUGAGAACUAAUGCUAACUUGACCAUUUAGAGGAAGUAAAAGUC